GACGAACGCUGGCGGCGUGCUUAACACAUGCAAGUCGAACGGAAAGGCCCUGCUUUUGUGGGGUGCUCGAGUGGCGAACGGGUGAGUAACACGUGAGUAACCUGCCCUUGACUUUGGGAUAACUUCAGGAAACUGGGGCUAAUACCGGAUAGGAGCUCCUGCUGCAUGGUGGGGGUUGGAAAGUGUCGGCGGUUGGGGAUGGACUCGCGGCUUAUCAGCUUGUUGGUGGGGUAGUGGCUUACCAAGGCUUUGACGGGUAGCCGGCCUGAGAGGGUGACCGGCCACCGUGGGACUGAGGUGCGGCCCCGCCUCCUACGGGAGGCAGCAGUGGGGAAUAUUGCACAAUGGGCGGAAGCCUGAUGCAGCAACGCCGCGUGCUGGAUGACGGCCUUCGGGUUGUAAACCGCUUUCGCCUGUGACGAAGCGUGAGUGACGGUAAUGGGUAAAGAAGCACCGGCUAACUACGUG
Molecule: ribosomal RNA, 468 nt
Filed under: uncultured bacterium
Lineage: Bacteria
Description: partial 16S ribosomal RNA
Rfam family: Bacterial small subunit ribosomal RNA
Source: RNAcentral